CAAGCCACAGCUAACCAGUUGCCGCUGAAAUUCAACAGAUUUACACACACACUCGCAACUUUUUAUCUAUGCUACCCACACAUUUACAAAUUUAUUUUUCCGACUGUCAAAACAAAAUUCUGAGUGAGAGCACCGGACCUAAUAAAAAUUUUUACUGUAAUAAGAAUUUUAUGCGUUAGAGCGAGUAAGUGGAAAUGAAGCAAAAUUUGACAGCUUUGAUCACAGAGGCUGUGACUUUAGCAAAAGUUUGACAUCUUUGAUCACAGUAGGCUGUAAAUAAAAGCGUUAAUUUUGCAAAAACAUUUGAAGAUUGCCGAAACACUGCGAUUUAAUCAUAUAAUUAAGAUUUGCGAUUUUUCAUUCUAAAUUUAUCUUCGACCCUGCUACCACGGAACAUCAACGCCACCUCCAGUCAGGCACCACACCAG
This is a long non-coding RNA of Rhagoletis zephyria (snowberry fruit fly), 428 nucleotides long. RefSeq lists it as uncharacterized. Lineage: Eukaryota; Metazoa; Arthropoda; Insecta; Diptera; Tephritidae. The record is from RefSeq and is a predicted model, not a curated record.